GGCAGACGGGUGCGUAACACGUAGGUGACCUGCCCUGGAGUGGGGAAUAACUAUCCUAACGGAUAGCUAAUACCGCAUAUGCUCGGUGAUUCAUUUUGCCGAGUAAAGUCGAAAGGCGCUUCAGGAUGGGCCUGCGGCGGAUUAGGUAGUUGGUGGGGUAACGGCCUACCAAGCCGAUGAUCCGUAGGGGGCGUGAGAGCGUGGCCCCCCACACUGGCACUGAGAUACGGGCCAGACUCCUACGGGAGGCAGCAGUGAGGAAUAUUGCGCAAUGGGCGAAAGCCUGACGCAGCAACGCCGCGUGAGGGACGAAGGCCUUCGGGUCGUAAACCUCUUUUCUGGGGGAAGAGCAAGGACGGUACCUCAGGAAUAAGUCUCGGCUAACUACGUGCCAGCAGCCGCGGUAAAACGUAGGAGGCGAGCGUUAUCCGGAUUUACUGGGCGUAAAGCGCACGCAGGCGGCUUC
RNAcentral lists this ribosomal RNA (466 nucleotides) under uncultured Actinomycetes bacterium. Its description in RNAcentral is "bacterial SSU rRNA". It matches the Rfam family "Bacterial small subunit ribosomal RNA", at positions 97 to 582 of the family's 1533-position model. The record is from RNAcentral. Lineage: Bacteria; Bacillati; Actinomycetota; Actinomycetes.